UACGUAGGGUGCGAGCGUUGUCCGGAAUUAUUGGGCGUAAAGAGCUCGUAGGCGGUGUGUCGCGUCGGCCGUGAAAACCUGGGGCUCAACUCUGGGCGUGCGGUCGAUACGGGCAUCACUGGAGUUCGGCAGGGGAGACUGGAAUUCCUGGUGUAGCGGUGAAAUGCGCAGAUAUCAGGAGGAACACCGGUGGCGAAGGCGGGUCUCUGGGCCAGUUCUGACGCUGAGGAGCGAAAGCGUGGGGAGCGAACAGG
Molecule: ribosomal RNA, 254 nt
Filed under: uncultured bacterium
Lineage: Bacteria
Description: partial 16S ribosomal RNA
Rfam family: Bacterial small subunit ribosomal RNA
Source: RNAcentral